Molecule: transfer RNA, 70 nt
Filed under: Marmota monax (woodchuck)
Lineage: Eukaryota; Metazoa; Chordata; Mammalia; Rodentia; Sciuridae
Description: tRNA.Ser
Source: RNAcentral
GGGCUGGGGCUCAGUGGUACAGCGCUUGCCUAGAACGUGAGAGGCCCUGGGUUCAAACCUCAGCACCACA